UAGUCAUAUGCUUGUCUCAAAGAUUAAGCCAUGCAUGUCUAAGUACAGCUCUCGUAUAGUGAAACCGCGAAUGGCUCAUUAAAUCAGUUACUAUUUCUUAGAUCUUACUUUUGUUACUUGGAUAACUGUGGUAAUUCUAGAGCUAAUACAUGCACUUCAACCCUGACUUCUGGAAAGGGUGCUCUUAUUAGACUCAAAACCAAUGUCCGGUCUCGGCUGGUCUUGUUUUGGUGACUCUGGAUAAAGUGGCGGAUCGCAGCGCUCUACGCGGGCGACGUAUCUUUCAAAUGUCUGCCCUAUCAACUGUCGACGGUAGUGUAUUGGACUACCGUGGUUGCAACGGGUAACGGGGAAUUAGGGUUCGAUUCCGGAGAGGGAGCCUGAGAAACGGCUACCACAUCCAAGGAAGGCAGCUAGGCGCGCAAAUUACCCUACUCCUAGCACAGGGAGGUAGUGACGAGAAAUAACGAAUACGGGACUCUU
Molecule: ribosomal RNA, 483 nt
Filed under: uncultured eukaryote
Lineage: Eukaryota
Description: SSU rRNA
Rfam family: Eukaryotic small subunit ribosomal RNA
Source: RNAcentral